AUGUUGCUGCUUCUCAUCUGGAUGAUGAUGGUCUCCUUUCAAACUGGAUCCUCUGAAGAUUUACUGAAACCAUUGAAAGAUGAACUGAUGGCUUUGGAAGGAGACACUGUCACUCUCUCCUGCAAAUAUUCUGGAAAUGAUUAUUUCUUCUGGUAUCGACAAUUUCCAGGAAAACCUCCAGAGUUCUUGAUCUCUCAUUCUGGAACAGGAACACCAAUUUCCCAGCCAGUUCCUGGAUUUUCCUUCAAAGUUAGUGACGACCAAAGACAAAUGGAUCUGCAGAUCUCCUCUGCUGCAGUGACAGACUCUGCUGUGUACUACUGUGCCGUGUGGUCCACAGUGACAGGAAACAACAAAACUCUGUACAAAAACCUGGAGACACAAUAUCUACUAAUAAACUCCAACAGUUUCUGA
This is a non-coding RNA of Oryzias latipes (Japanese medaka), 414 nucleotides long. The record is from the annotation of a RefSeq genome assembly. Lineage: Eukaryota; Metazoa; Chordata; Actinopteri; Beloniformes; Adrianichthyidae.